Molecule: ribosomal RNA, 444 nt
Filed under: uncultured bacterium
Lineage: Bacteria
Description: partial 16S ribosomal RNA
Rfam family: Bacterial small subunit ribosomal RNA
Source: RNAcentral
CUACGGGGGGCUCCAGUGGGGAAUAUUGCACAAUGGGCGAAAGCCUGAUGCAGCAACGCCGCGUGAGGGACGACGGCCUUCGGGUUGUAAACCUCUUUUAGCAGGGAAGAAGCGAAAGUGACGGUACCUGCAGAAAAAGCACCGGCUAACUACGUGCCAGCAGCCGCGGUAAUACGUAGGGUGCAAGCGUUGUCCGGAAUUAUUGGGCGUAAAGAGCUCGUAGGCGGUUUGUCGCGUCUGCUGUGAAAAUCCGAGGCUCAACCUCGGACCUGCAGUGGGUACGGGCAAACUAGAGUGCGGUAGGGGAGAUUGGAAUUCCUGGUGUAGCGGUGGAAUGCGCAGAUAUCAGGAGGAACACCAAUGGCGAAGGCAGAUCUCUGGGCCGUAACUGACGCUGAGGAGCGAAAGCGUGGGGAGCGAACAGGAUUAGAUACCCCUGUACUC